AACGCGUAGGUAACCUGCCUGGUAGCGGGGGACAACUAUUGGAAACGAUAGCUAAUACCGCAUAAUAUCUUUGAUUGCUUGAUUGAAGUUUGAAAGAUGCAACUGCAUCACUACCAGAUGGACCUGCGUUGUAUUAGCUAGUAGGUGAGGUAAAGGCUCACCUAGGCGACGAUACAUAGCCGACCUGAGAGGGUGAACGGCCACACUGGGACUGAGACACGGCCCAGACUCCUACGGGAGGCAGCAGUAGGGAAUCUUCGGCAAUGGGGGCAACCCUGACCGAGCAACGCCGCGUGAGUGAAGAAGGUUUUCGGAUCGUAAAGCUCUGUUGUAAGAGAAGAACGUGUGUGAGAGUGGAAAGUUCACACAGUGACGGUAACUUACCAGAAAGGGACGGCUAACUACGUGCCAGCAGCCGCGGUAAUACGUAGGUCCCGAGCGUUAUCCGGAUUUAUUGGGCGUAAAGCGAGCGCAGGCGGUUGGAUAAGUCUGAAGUUAAAGGCUGUGGUUCAACCAU
Molecule: ribosomal RNA, 517 nt
Filed under: uncultured bacterium
Lineage: Bacteria
Description: bacterial SSU rRNA
Rfam family: Bacterial small subunit ribosomal RNA
Source: RNAcentral